Molecule: non-coding RNA, 29 nt
Filed under: Homo sapiens (human)
Lineage: Eukaryota; Metazoa; Chordata; Mammalia; Primates; Hominidae
Source: RNAcentral
UCCUGGGCUGCCUGACAUGCUAGCUGGGA